UAUUGAUCGGGCUCGUCAUUAGCGCCGUCGGAGUCAAAGCUCUUUGUUUUACUUCGUCUGGAAAACGACUGGCGGAGAAGUGUUUUGAACUCGUCAAGUAUCAACGUUACUGGCUCCAUAUCCGUUGAUCCAGCUUCGUGUUUACUUGUAUUCCGCUAAUGUUCCACCCAUUGGGAGAGGCCAAUCUGCGAAUCGCGUGAAAGGCGUGCCAACCCGAAAUUCGGCUAUAACUAUAAUUGGCACGAAAAGGAAAACUAAACGCCGUGUGUGGAAGCGGGACGAAAGAAAAUGAA
Daphnia carinata is the source of this 293-nucleotide long non-coding RNA. RefSeq lists it as uncharacterized. The transcript has 3 exons. The record is from RefSeq and is a predicted model, not a curated record. NCBI's taxonomy places the organism in Eukaryota, Metazoa, Arthropoda, Branchiopoda, Diplostraca, Daphniidae.